Molecule: non-coding RNA, 1284 nt
Organism: Castor canadensis (American beaver)
Lineage: Eukaryota; Metazoa; Chordata; Mammalia; Rodentia; Castoridae
Source: RefSeq, a predicted model, not a curated record
AUGGCAAAAACUGUGGCCUAUUUCUACAACCCCGACGUGCGCAACUUCCACCACAGAGCUGGGCACCCUAUGAAGCCCCAUCGCUUUGCAUUGACCCAUAGCUUGGUCCUGCAUUAUGGUCUCUAUAAGAAGAUGAUCGUCUUCAAGCCAUACCAGGCCUCCCAGCAUGACAUGUGCCUCUUCCACUCUGAGGACUACAUUGACUUCCUGCAGAGAGUCAGCCCCACCAAUAUGCAAGGCUUCACCAACAGCCUUAAUGCCUUCGAUGUGGGCGAUGACUGCCCAGUGUUUCCCCGGCUUUUUGAGUUCUGCUUCCGUUACACAGGUGCAUCUCUGCAAGGAGCAACCCAACUGAACAACAAGAUCUGUGAGAUUGCCAUUAACUGGGCUGGUGGUCUUCACCAUGCUAAGAAGUUUGAGGCUUCUCGCUUCUGCUAUGUCAAUGACAUUGUAAUUGGCAUCCUGGAGCUCCCCAAGUACCACCCUCGGGUGCUCUAUAUUGACAUCGACAGCCACCAUGGUGACGGGGUUCAGGAAGCCUUCUACCUCACUGACCGCGUUGUGACUGUGUCCUUUCACAAAUACGGAAAGUACUUCUUCCCUGGGACAGGUGACAUGUAUGAAGUUGGAGCAGAGAGUGGCCGCUACUACUGUCUCAAUGUGCCCUUACGGAUCGCAUUGAUGACCAGAGUUACAAGCACCUUUUCCAGCAGGUCAUCAACCAGGUGGUGGACUUCUACCAACCCACAUGCAUUGUGCUCCAGUGUGGAGCUGACUCUCUGGGCUGUGAUAGAUUGGGCUGUUUCAAUCUUAGCAUACGAGGGCAUGGGGAAUGCGUUGAAUAUGUCAAGAGCUAGGUGGUGUUGGCUAUACUGUCCGAAAUGUUGCCUGCUGCUGGACAUAUGAGACAUCCUUCUGGUAGAAGAGGCCAUCAGUGAAGACCUUCCCUAUAGUGAGUACUUCGAGUACUUUGCCCCGGACUUUACCCUCCAUCCAGAUGUCAGCACCCGCAUCGGGAAUCAGAACUCACGCCAUUAUCUGGAUCAGAUCCGCCAGACAAUCUUUGAAAACCUAAAGAUGCUGAACCAUGCACCUAGUGUCUAGAUCCACGAUGUGCCUGCAGACUUCCUGACCUAUGACAGGACUGAUGAGGCAGAUGCAGAGGAGAGGGGUCCUGAGGGGAACUACAGCAGGCCAGAGGCGAACUACAGCAGGCCAGAGGCACCCAAUGAACUUUAUGAUGGAGACCAUGACAAUGACAAGGAAAGUGAUGUGGAAAUUUAA